RNAcentral lists this long non-coding RNA (1072 nucleotides) under Triticum aestivum (bread wheat). Its description in RNAcentral is "long non-coding RNA (TAES_LNC005021)". The record is from RNAcentral. Lineage: Eukaryota; Viridiplantae; Streptophyta; Magnoliopsida; Poales; Poaceae.
AAUGCAUUGUGAUGAAUGGUAGUAUCAGGGGGGCUAAUGAGGGCAUGCACAUAAGCAUGUACUCCGUAAGGUACGUUUGUUCUGGUAAUCUGUGUAAGCUUUGAGCACUUGGGUGCUAAUUUCUCUGACUAUCGUGGAUAUCUUAGCAACCCAGCGAUAUAUAAUUUAUUGACCUAAAUAAGCCACUUCGAAACUUUUCCGAAAAAAGCCACUUCGAAACUUGCUGCUUUGAUUUGUAUUUUGAGUCAUUGACAUAUUUGUUUCCCCGCCUGAUGCUGAAUCCAAGCCAUCAUGAAUAUGUGUUGUAGAACUCAUACGCCUCCUGCUCGGAUUUUUUUUGAAACAAGGCAAAAGACUUGCCAUUUCAUUGAUUAAGCCAACAGCUGGUUCGAAAACAACUGUUUCCCAAGUUUUGAUGCUCCUUCAAUUGCACGCUCUAUAGCACUUCGAUAUGCUUCUAUUGGUGCCCGGAAAGAAUUGCUAGUUCUGUUUCUGUAAAGAAAAACAACAAGGCGGUGCAGCUUGUUAAUAUACUCAGCACAAAAGUCUAUAACUCGCGGAUGACUGAAAAGGAUGCUAGUAAGAAUAAAGAGACAUUCGAGAAAUGAUCAUCCUACCACUCGGUUGACUACUGCAAUGCUUCUUACUUCAUUUACCUGUCACCGUGAUUUACGAGAGAGAAAAGUCGGGGCAAAAUGUACCUGAAAAACGAUGCAGAAUUGCAGAUACCGGUAUUAAGGUGAUUACUUCUGCUGUCUUAUCCAUCCAUCGUUUCCCGGCAUGGUCGUGGCGGCAUCGCUGGUCUGCUAUCGUUCUCGUCUUCAACAAGAUCCACGGCGAUUGACGGGUGAUGUGAAGGUAUCUGGCUAUUGGUUCUGGAGAAGAUGGGAUCCAUGGGUGCUUCUCCUAUUGCCACAUCUACCGCCGAGAACUCUGUAGACAAUGAUCGCAUAAUUUUGGAUGACAUGAAAACUGACACAUUAAGCGGUAUGCAGCUGAAAAACUCACUUGGGUAGUCGACGAAAUCCUCACGCUGCGCUGCACCGUCGUUCUAGAUUUUUCCAACCUGACG